GCCCCCAUCGUCUAGAGGCCUAGGACACUGGCCUUUCAAGCCGGUAACAGCGAUUCGAAUUCGCUUGGGGGCACCA
RNAcentral lists this transfer RNA (76 nucleotides) under Chloroflexota bacterium. RNAcentral describes it as "tRNA-Glu". It matches the Rfam family "tRNA". Rfam says of the family: Transfer RNA (tRNA) molecules are approximately 80 nucleotides in length. Their secondary structure includes four short double-helical elements and three loops (D, anti-codon, and T loops). Further hydrogen bonds mediate the characteristic L-shaped molecular structure. tRNAs have two regions of fundamental functional importance: the anti-codon, which is responsible for specific mRNA codon recognition, and the 3' end, to which the tRNAs corresponding amino acid is attached (by aminoacyl-tRNA synthetases). tRNAs cope with the degeneracy of the genetic code in two manners: having more than one tRNA (with a specific anti-codon) for a particular amino acid; and 'wobble' base-pairing, i.e. permitting non-standard base-pairing at the 3rd anti-codon position. RNAcentral also lists the same sequence under 3 other names. Lineage: Bacteria; Bacillati; Chloroflexota. The record is from RNAcentral.